CGAGUUGGCCGGGCGGCCGCGGCACGGAGAACUGACGACCGGCGUCGUCAAGCUUCGAGCCGAGGAAAGUCCGGACUCCACAGAGCAGGGCGGUUGCCAACAGCAACCCGAGGCGACUCGCGGGACAGUGCCACAGAGAAGAGACCGCCGACCGGUCCUCGGAUCGGUCGGUCAGGGUGAAACGGUGCGGUAAGAGCGCACCAGCACCCCGGGUGACCGGGGUGGCUCGGUAAACCCCGCCCGGAGCAAGAUCGAAGGUCGCACCGCCGUUCGCGGUGGUGCGUCUGCGCAGGUGUUCGAGGGCUGCUCGCCCGAGCCUGCGGGUUGAUCGCUCGAGGUACCCGGCGACGGUGUGCCCAGAUGGAUGGUCGCCACCCGGGAUUCGUUCCGGGGACAGGAUCCGGCUUACACGCCGACUCGUCCG
Molecule: RNase P RNA, 424 nt
Filed under: Rhodococcoides corynebacterioides
Lineage: Bacteria; Bacillati; Actinomycetota; Actinomycetes; Mycobacteriales; Nocardiaceae
Also listed under: 1 other name
Description: RNase P class A
Rfam family: Bacterial RNase P class A
About the family: Ribonuclease P (RNase P) is a ubiquitous endoribonuclease, found in archaea, bacteria and eukarya as well as chloroplasts and mitochondria. Its best characterised activity is the generation of mature 5'-ends of tRNAs by cleaving the 5'-leader elements of precursor-tRNAs.
Source: RNAcentral